GAGUUUGAUCAUGGCUCAGGACGAACGCUGGCGGUGUGCUUAACACAUGCAAGUCAACGUGAAUUUAUCUUCGGAUAAUAGUAAAGUGGCGAACGGGUGAGUAACGCGUAAAUAACUUGCCUUGGAGAUUGGGACAACAUUGGGAAACCAGUGCUAAUACCAAAUAAUGCAGCGGGCCCUUCGGGGCAUAGUUGUUAAAGUAGGCUUCGGCUUACACUUCAAGAUAGAUUUGCGUCCGAUUAGUUAGUUGGUAGGGUAAUAGCCUACCAAGACCGAGAUCGGUAGCUGGUCUGAGAGGAUGAUCAGCCACACUGGAAUUGAGAUACGGUCCAGACUCCUACGGGAGGCAGCAGUGAGGAAUUUUGCACAAUGAGCGAAAGCCUGAUGCAGCAACACCGCGUGAUUGAUGAAGUUUUUAGGAAUGUAAAAAUCUGUCGUAAGGGAAGAAAUGUUUCGGAUGUUAAUACCAUCUGUUACUGACGGUACCUUACAAGAAAGGACCGGCUAACUUCGUGCCAGCAGCCGCGGUAAUACGAGGGGUCCUAGCGUUGUCCGGAUUUACUGGGCGUAAAGGGUACGUAGGCGUUUUAAUAAGUUGUAUGUUAAAUAUCUUAGCUUAACUAAGAAAGUGCAUACAAAACUGUUAAGAUAGCGUUUGAGAGAGGAACGCAGAAUUCAUGGUGGAGCGGUGACAUGCGUAGAUAUCAUGAGGAAAGUCAAAUGCGAAGGCAGCCUUCUGGCCCAAAACUGACGCUGAGGUACGAAAGCGUGGGGAGCGAACAGGAUUAGAUACCCUGGUAGUCCACGCCGUAAACGAUGAGUAUUUGGUGCUGGGGGAUUCGACCCUUUCAGUGCCGUAGCUAACGCGAUAAAUACUCCGCCUGGGGACUACGAUCGCAAGAUUGAAACUCAAAGGAAUUGACGGGGACCCGCACAAGCGGUGGAACAUGUGGUUUAAUUCGAUGAUACGCGAAGAACCUUACCUGGGUUUGACAUGUCAGAGAAAGUUUUCCGAAAGGAGAACCCUUUAAUAAUUUAUUAUUAAACUCUGUCACAGGUGAUGCAUGGCUGUCGUCAGCUCGUGUCGUGAGAUGUUAGGUUAAGUCCUGCAACGAGCGCAACCCCUAUAUUUAGUUGCCAGCACAUAAUGGUGGGGACUCUAAAUAGACUGCCCGGAAUAACCGGGAGGAAGGUGGGGAUGAUGUCAAGUCAGUAUGUCCCUUAUACCCAGGGCUACACACGUGUUACAAUGGAUAGUACAAAAAGUAGCAAUUCCGCGAGGAGGAGCCAAUCUUUAAAACUAUCCCCAGUUCAGAUUGAAGUCUGAAAUUCGACUUCAUGAAGCAGGAAUCGCUAGUAAUCGUAGGUCAGCACACUACGGUGAAUACGUUCCCGGGUCUUGUACACACCGCCCGUCAAGUCAUGGAAGUCUGCAGUACCCAAAGAUGGUAUCCUAACCGCAAGGAGGGAGCUGUUUAAGGUAAGGCAGGUAACUGGGACUAAGUCGUAACAAGGUAACC
This 1520-nucleotide ribosomal RNA is filed under the name uncultured marine bacterium. RNAcentral's name for it is "bacterial SSU rRNA". It matches the Rfam family "Bacterial small subunit ribosomal RNA". The record is from RNAcentral.